Molecule: small nucleolar RNA, 82 nt
Organism: Pipistrellus kuhlii (Kuhl's pipistrelle)
Lineage: Eukaryota; Metazoa; Chordata; Mammalia; Chiroptera; Vespertilionidae
Product: small nucleolar RNA SNORD24
Exons: 1
Source: RefSeq, a predicted model, not a curated record
UGCCACAAUGAUGACAUUUUAUUUGCUACUCUCGACUGUGAGAAUGACGAGACGUAUUACCACCAUUACCCAAACUGAGGCA